Molecule: ribosomal RNA, 686 nt
Filed under: uncultured rumen archaeon
Lineage: Archaea
Description: bacterial SSU rRNA
Rfam family: Archaeal small subunit ribosomal RNA
Source: RNAcentral
CCGCAUACUCCUAGUGAUUGGAGUUUGAUCCUGCCGGAGGUCAGUGCUAUCGGGGUUCGAUUAUUCCCUGCGAGUCGAGAGGGUUCAGACCCUCGGCGGACUGCUCAGUAACACGUGGAUAAUCUGCCCUAUGGUGGAGGAUAACCCCGGGAAACUGGGGAUAAUACUCCAUAAGUCAGGAGUACUGGAAUGUCUCCUAACUGAAAGUUUCGGCGCCAUAGGAUGAAUCUGCGGCCGAUUACGUAGUUGUUGGGGUAACGGCCCAACAAUCCCCUUCUCGGUACCGGUUGUGGGAACAAGAGCCCGGAUAUGGAAUCUGUCACACAAUUCCAGGCCUUACGGGGCGCAACACGCCCUCAUACUAUUCAAUGCCUGACCUUGCGAUAAGGCGACACCUAGCUGCCCGUACACACCGGACUGUCCCCGCGAUUUAAUAAACAUAUCAACACAGCGCCUGGACACUCCCGUAUCUGCCCCCACUUCAACCCCGCCUGCAUGAGAUGUGACCCAUUUUAUCGCGACUAUAUCGUCAAAUCAAUAUUUAUAUUCCUUUAUAUAACACUCAGUGAUUUACUCUCAGCGCACAAAACUCCUGGAUCACCUCUGCUGCAUUUGUUCCAUUCUUCUUAUCGGAAUAUAUAAAUUUAUAUAAUUGAAAGAUAACAUAAAUCCAACGUUUAAUAACU